AUCUCUGGAGAGUCCCUAUAGAGGGCGCCGAAGGUGUUAGGCAGGGCCGCGCAAGGCGAGGAAAGCGCGUUCCGGGCUGAUCUCUCAGGCAAACGGACAGAGC
This 103-nucleotide non-coding RNA is filed under the name uncultured Stomatobaculum sp. RNAcentral describes it as "Glycine riboswitch". It matches the Rfam family "Glycine riboswitch aptamer", at positions 9 to 86 of the family's 94-position model. From Rfam's summary of the family: This family represents the bacterial glycine riboswitch. Glycine riboswitches usually consist of two metabolite-binding aptamers domains with similar structures in tandem. The aptamers cooperatively bind glycine to regulate the expression of downstream genes. Lineage: Bacteria; Bacillati; Bacillota; Clostridia; Lachnospirales; Lachnospiraceae. The record is from RNAcentral.